This 413-nucleotide long non-coding RNA is filed under the name Cricetulus griseus (Chinese hamster). RNAcentral describes it as "lncRNA (ENSCGRG00015038858.1)". Lineage: Eukaryota; Metazoa; Chordata; Mammalia; Rodentia; Cricetidae. The record is from RNAcentral.
CAGAAUCAGCUCAGAGAUAGCCCUGGACUUGCGUGUGAGGGGAUUUCUAGGUUUGAUCAUUGAGCUGGGACGACCCACCCUAAAUGUGAGUUGUACCAUUCCAUGAGUUGAAAUCCUGAGCUGAGUCAAAGGAAAGGAAGCUGAGUACCAGUACUGAAUGUGACUAGCUGCCUCUCACUCUGGCUGCUGUGAUGGAAGGUAUAAAACAUUAAGGAACUACUUAAGAAGAGGUCAUGAAGGUGAAUUCCUGGAUAUUAUAAACAGACUUUUGAGAGCUGGGCGUGCUGGUACAUAUCUAAAAUCUUAACAUCUAGGAAGUAGAGGCAGGAGGAACAGGAGUUCAAGGCCAACCUCAACUACACAGGGAAUUCAAAGCCAGCAUGAGGCCUUGAAUUUGUGUCAAAAACCAAAAC